AUUGAACGCUGGCGGCAGGCCUAACACAUGCAAGUCGAGCGGAUGAAGGGAGCUUGCUCCUGGAUUCAGCGGCGGACGGGUGAGUAAUGCCUAGGAAUCUGCCUGGUAGUGGGGGAUAACGUCCGGAAACGGGCGCUAAUACCGCAUACGUCCUGAGGGAGAAAGUGGGGGAUCUUCGGACCUCACGCUAUCAGAUGAGCCUAGGUCGGAUUAGCUAGUUGGUGGGGUAAAGGCCUACCAAGGCGACGAUCCGUAACUGGUCUGAGAGGAUGAUCAGUCACACUGGAACUGAGACACGGUCCAGACUCCUACGGGAGGCAGCAGUGGGGAAUAUUGGACAAUGGGCGAAAGCCUGAUCCAGCCAUGCCGCGUGUGUGAAGAAGGUCUUCGGAUUGUAAAGCACUUUAAGUUGGGAGGAAGGGCAGUAAGUUAAUACCUCGCUGUUUUGACGUUACCAACAGAAUAAGCACCGGCUAACUUCGU
Molecule: ribosomal RNA, 483 nt
Filed under: uncultured bacterium
Lineage: Bacteria
Description: partial 16S ribosomal RNA
Rfam family: Bacterial small subunit ribosomal RNA
Source: RNAcentral